GAAAUGCGAUAAGUAAUGUGAAUUGCAGAAUUCAGUGAAUCAUCGAAUCUUUCAACGCACAUUGCGCUCGCCAGUAUUCUGGCGAGCAUGCCUGUUCGAGCGUCAUUUCAACCAUCAAGCUCUGCUUGCGUUGGGGAUCCGCGGCUGCCCGCGGUCCCUCAAAAACAGUGGCGGGCUCGCUAGUCACACCGAGCGUAGUAACUCUACAUCGCUAUGGUCGUGCGGCGGGUUCUUGCCGUAAAACCCCCAAUUUCUAAGGUUGACCUCGGAUCAGGUAGGAAUACCCGCUGAACUUAAGC
Molecule: unclassified non-coding RNA, 299 nt
Filed under: plant metagenome
Description: partial contains 5.8S ribosomal RNA, internal transcribed spacer 2, and large subunit ribosomal RNA
Rfam family: 5.8S ribosomal RNA (bases 1-105)
Source: RNAcentral